Molecule: long non-coding RNA, 688 nt
Filed under: Homo sapiens (human)
Lineage: Eukaryota; Metazoa; Chordata; Mammalia; Primates; Hominidae
Description: non-protein coding lnc-GXYLT1-7:1
Source: RNAcentral
AUCAACCCUGUAACCCAACUUAUCAUCUCUUUCACUAUCUUUACAGGAACUGUCAUCACAAUAAUAGGUUUACACUGACUUCUCAACUGAAUGGGCAUGGAAAUAAAUAUAUUAGCCAUUGUCCCAAUUCUAUAAAAAAGCAAGCCCUCACUCCACAGAAGCAGCUACCAAAUAUUUUCUUACACAAGCAACUGCAUCCAUAAUCCUCAUAACAGGUGUUAUUACUGAUAUACUGUGCUCCAGACAAUGAAUAAUCAUAAACUCAAUCAAUCAAGUAGCAUCUUUAAUAAUAUUAAUAGCCUUAACAAUAAAAUUAGGCAUAUCUCCCUUCCACUUUUUAGUCCCAGAAGUAACCCAGGGAAUUUCACUAACAUCUGGUAUAAUCCUUCUUACAUGACAAAAACUAGCCCCUAUCUCCAUUAUAUUUCAAAUUUUCUUCUCAAUGGACCUAAACAUUUUAGUAGCAAUUGCAACAUUAUCUGUUCUAGUAGGGGACUGAGGACUCAACCAAAGGCAACUGCAAAAAAUCUUAGCCUGUUCAUCAAUUGCUCACAUGGGCUGAAUGAUUGCAAUCUUAACAUAUAACCCAAAUAUUACUAUCCAAACCUUAAUUAUCUAUCUUGUCUUGACAGUAGCUAUAUUUAUAAUAUUUAAUGCAAGCAUAAGCACUGCAAGUCUAUCGCUAUCG